UACAGAGGUCCCAAGCGUUGUUCGGAUUCACUGGGCGUAAAGGGUGCGUAGGCGGUUCUGCAAGUCUUGUGUGAAAUCUUCAGGCUCAACUUGAAGUCUGCACAAGAAACUGCCGGGCUUGAGUAUGGGAGAGGUGAGUGGAAUUUCCGGUGUAGCGGUGAAAUGCGUAGAUAUCGGAAGGAACACCUGUGGCGAAAGCGGCUCACUGGACCAUUACUGACACUGAGGCACGAAAGCUAGGGGAGCAAACAGG
Molecule: ribosomal RNA, 253 nt
Filed under: uncultured bacterium
Lineage: Bacteria
Description: partial 16S ribosomal RNA
Rfam family: Bacterial small subunit ribosomal RNA
Source: RNAcentral